AUACGGAGGGUGCAAGCGUUACUCGGAAUCACUGGGCGUAAAGCGCGCGCAGGCGGCUUGAUAAGUUGGAUGUGAAAGCCUACGGCUCAACCGUAGAACUGCAUCAAAACUGUCAAGCUAGAGUCUGGGAGGGGAAGAUGGAAUUAGUUGUGUAGGGGUAAAAUCCGUAGAGAUAACUAGGAAUACCAAAAGCGAAGGCGAUCUUCUGGAACAGUACUGACGCUGAGGCGCGAAAGCGUGGGGAGCAAACAGGAUUAGAAACCCUAGUAGUCC
RNAcentral lists this ribosomal RNA (273 nucleotides) under uncultured bacterium. RNAcentral's name for it is "partial 16S ribosomal RNA". It matches the Rfam family "Bacterial small subunit ribosomal RNA", at positions 523 to 796 of the family's 1533-position model. The record is from RNAcentral.